This 483-nucleotide ribosomal RNA is filed under the name Lygodactylus heterurus. RNAcentral describes it as "partial large subunit ribosomal RNA". It matches the Rfam family "Bacterial large subunit ribosomal RNA", at positions 1926 to 2597 of the family's 2925-position model. The record is from RNAcentral. Lineage: Eukaryota; Metazoa; Chordata; Lepidosauria; Squamata; Gekkonidae.
AACGGCCGCGGUAUCCUAACCGUGCAAAGGUAGCGCAAUCACUUGCCCUUUAAUUAGGGGCUAGUAUGAACGGUUACAUGAGGGUCUAACUGUCUCCUAUGACCAAUCAAUGAACUUGAUGAUUCAGUACAAACGCUGAAAUAAUUACACAAGACGAGAAGACCCUGUGGAACUUUAAGUUUUCUGAUAGCGGACCAAAAUUUCCAACCCCCCUUUCUAACAGAUACUUUCAGUUGGGGCAACUACGGAGCAAAAAAAUCCUCCACGAACAACAAUUUACACCUGUCCCUCAGGCUUACAUGCCACCCACCCUCUGUCAGACCCAGCAAAGCUGACCUACGAACCAAGCUACCCCAGGGAUAACAGCGCUAUCCCCUUCAAGAGUCCUUAUCGCCAAGGGGGUUUACGACCUCGAUGUUGGAUCAGGACCCCCCGGUGGUGCAGCCGCUGCCAAAGGUUCGUUUGUUCAACGAAUAACGUCCU